RNAcentral lists this ribosomal RNA (427 nucleotides) under uncultured bacterium. RNAcentral describes it as "partial 16S ribosomal RNA". It matches the Rfam family "Bacterial small subunit ribosomal RNA", at positions 355 to 774 of the family's 1533-position model. The record is from RNAcentral.
UGGGGAAUAUUGCACAAUGGGCGCAAGCCUGAUGCAGCCAUGCCGCGUGUAUGAAGAAGGCCUUCGGGUUGUAAAGUACUUUCAGCGGGGAGGAAGGUGUUGUGGUUAAUAACCUCAGCAAUUGACGUUACCCGCAGAAGAAGCACCGGCUAACUCCGUGCCAGCAGCCGCGGUAAUACGGAGGGUGCAAGCGUUAAUCGGAAUUACUGGGCGUAAAGCGCACGCAGGCGGUCUGUCAAGUCGGAUGUGAAAUCCCCUGGCGCAACCUGGGAACUGCAUCCGAAACUGGCAGGCUUGAGUCUUGUAGAGGGGGGUAGAAUUCCAGGUGUAGCGGUGAAAUGCGUAGAGAUCUGGAGGAAUAACGGUGGCGAAGGCGGCCCCCUGGACAAAGACUGACGCUCAGGUGCGAAAGCGUGGGGAGCAAACA